AAGCUGCCUGGAGGAGGAAGCACUUUGUGAGGUGACUUUAAUUUGAAAUCAAUAACAAAAUCCUAGGGCCUUGUAAGUGGCUGGAACAUACUCGUUCUCCGAUGGCUACCCCGUGUCGAUGAGCUAUUAUUAAGAAGAAAGAUGAAGCAUCCUGCAAUAUUAGUUUCCGAAUUUGGGUCCUGUCAUUUCGAGCAAACAAUGUUGUGUAAUGAUUAAUGCCAAUAAAAUCCAAGCAUCCCAUUAGGAAUUCGGAGAUCUUUGGAGUAAUCUCAGGUAAUCUUUCACCCACGAGCUUUUUCAUCGAAGGAGGAUACUUGCCGAAGAAAAGUGGAUCCAGGAACCUGUUUCAUCAUUUGUUCUGUUAAAAACAUGUUCAUGACUUUUGUGUAUCUGGAAUUUGAUUCCUUCUGAUUAAUAUAUUUACCAUCCGAUUGUGAAGUCCAUUGCUCUAUGCGCCGCAUCUUUGUCCUCGUCAGCAUCUGAUAUUGGCUCAUACCACUUGGAAUCUAAUGCUAUUCCAAUCUGACCUCCUUGUUUUGCCUGCAAGAAGGAACAAUCCGGAAUCCGUUUUAUAUUCCAAUAUUUCUUGCAGCUAUGUUCUUGGGGUUUUUCUCUA
Long non-coding RNA from Ricinus communis (castor bean), 616 nucleotides. RefSeq lists it as uncharacterized. Lineage: Eukaryota; Viridiplantae; Streptophyta; Magnoliopsida; Malpighiales; Euphorbiaceae. The transcript is spliced from 2 exons. The record is from RefSeq and is a predicted model, not a curated record.